AUCUUCAGUGAUUCAUUGAGUUGGGACUUUCUAGAUUCAUGAAGAUAACUAAUAGCACCUAGGACCAAAGUUUCAGUGGGCAGGGAUGACAAAGAAGAGAAUAUAAAUUUGGUUGUGACUGUUGCUGCACCGGACACAUUUGUUGGCAAUGUUUUGGGUAUGUUUGAAGUUUCUGGUUGCAAACUUGAAGUACUUUGAAGUGUUGCAUCUGCUUUUGUUGUAUUGUUCAGAGGUGUAGUAUUGCUAGUAAGAGUUUCAGCUGCUAUUGGUUUUAUGGAUGUGUGACCUGAAAUUGUAGAUGCUGGUGAUGUUGACGUAUUGUUGUUUGGACCUGAUGCUAUUGGAAAUUCUGGAAAUUCUGCUGUGUUAGUGAAACCUGUAAUAAUUCCAGUGGUAGUUGUUGAUGCAGUUGUGGUUUCUGAAUCCAAGUUUGGGCUUGAAGUUGUUUUGGUUGAAAGUGCAAGUGUGGCUGGAGCAGAAGAUGUACUGGUAAAAGCGACAGUUGUUUUUAAAAGAUCUCCUGAUGUUAGUUGAAAGGCAGUUGUUGUUUGAGUUGCAGUUGAGCUUGGAAUGGUGGCAGUUGCUGUGCUUGGAGCUGUAGCUGAGAUAUCAGCUGGAACUGUAGUGGUGGCCAGAACAUUCAUGGUUGUAAUGGGUGCAGAUGGGGUUCUUGGAGGUUCAGUUGUUUUUGUUGGAGUUAAAGUUGGUAAUAUAGUUACAUGUGAUGAGGAGAUAGGCAAAAUUGUUACAGCAAUAGUUAUGAUCUCUGGAGACACAGUUGUGAUUAUUGGAGGUGCAUUUGUCGUGGUAAUGAGUGUUGCCUGGCUUAGAGCUGGAACUGUAUUUGUGAAAGCAACAGUUGUGCUUGAUAGAGGUACAGUUGUUAUUUGGAAUGCAGUUGUUGUUGCCACUGAAGGAGUGUUCUUGCUUGAUGUUGUUGGAUCAUUAGUUGUUUUAGAUGUGGUUGAUGAAGCUGUAGUUGCGGUCUCUGCUGUUGUACUUUCUGAAGUUGUAGGCAGUGUUGUUGAAGUAAUGGGUGUGGUUUUUGUACUCACAACUGUGGAGGUGGGAUUUCAUUGGGGAUGCUGUAGUUAUUGAUCUUGUUACAGGUGCAGUUGUUUCUGAAGAUGUAGGCAUUGUUGAAGUAAGAGUUGUGGAUUCAGAAGUUACAGCUGUUGAUGUUGUUGGAUCAUGUGUUGCAGUAGAUGUGGUUGAUAAAGCUGUAGUCGUGGUUUCUGCUGUUGUACUUUCUGAAGUUGUAGUCAGUGUUGUUGAAGUAGUAGUUGUGGUGGUCUCUGUACUCACAACUGUGGUUGUUGGAAUUUCGCUAGUUGACAAUCCUUUAGUUGCUGAUGUUGUUACAGGUGCAGUUGUUUCUGAAGAUGUAGGUAUCGUUGUUGAAGUAAGAGUUGUGGAUUCUGAAGUUACAGCUGUUGAUGUUGCUGGAUUGUUUGUUUUUGUAGAUGUGGUUGAUGAAGCUGUAGUUGUGGUUUCUGCUGUUGUACUUUCUGAAGUUGUAGGCAGUGUUGCUGAAGUAGUAGUUGUGGUCUCUGUACUCACAACUGUGGUUGUUGGAAUUUCGCUAGUUGACAAUCCUUUAGUUGCUGAUGUUGUUACAGGUGCAAUUGUUUCUGAAGAUGUAGGUAUCGUUGUUGAAGUAAGAGUUGUGGAUUCUGAAGUUACAGCUGUUGAUGUUGCUGGAUUGUUUGUUGUUGUAGAUGUGGUUGAUGAAGCUGUAGUUGUGGUUUCUGCUGUUGUACUUUCUGAAGUUGUAGGCAUUGUUGUGGAAGCAAUAGUUGUGGUUUCUGUACUCACAACUGUGGUGGUGGGAAUUUCAGUAGUUGAGGAUGCUGUAGUUAUUGAUGUUGUUACAGGUGCAGUUGUUUCUGAAGUUGUAGGAAUUGUUGUUGAAGUAAGUGUUAGGGAUUCUGAAGUUACUACUGUUGAUGUUGUUGGAUUGUUUGUUAUUGUAGAUGUGGUUGAUGAAGCUGUAGUGGUGGUUUCCACUGUUGUAAUUUCUAAAGUUGUAGGCAAUGUUGUUGAAGUAAUAGGUGUGGUCUCUGUACUUACAACUGUGGUUGUGGGAAUUUCUGUAGAUGAGGAAGCUUUAGUUACUGAUGUUGUUACAGGUGCAGUUGUAUCUGAAGAUGUAAGCAUAGUUGUUGAAGUAAGAGUUGUGGAUUCUGAAGUUACUGCUGCUGAUGUUGUUGGAUCAUUUGUUGUUGUAGAUGUGGCUGAUGAAGCUGCAGUUGUGGUCUCUGCUGUUGUUCUUUCUGAAGUUGUAGGCAGUGUUGUUGAAGUAAUAGUUGUGGUUUCAGUCCUCACAACUGUGGUGGUGGGAAUUUCAGUAGUUGAGGAUGCUGUAGUUACUGAUGUUGUUACAGGUGCGGUUGUUUCUGAAGAUGUAGGCAUUGUUGAUGUAAGAGUUGUGGAUUCUGAAGUUACAGCUGCUGAUGUUGUUGGAUCAUUUGUUGUUGUAGAUGUGGUUGAUGAAGCUGUAGUUGCGGUCUCUGCUGUUGUACUUUCUGAAGUUGUAGGCAGUGUUGUUGAAGUAAUGCUUGUGGAUUCUGAAGAUACAGCUGCUGAUGUCGUUGGAUCAUUUGUUGUUGUAGAUGUGGUUGAUGAAGCUGUAGUUGCGGUCUCUGUUGUUGUACUUUCUGAAGUUGUAGGCAGUGUUGUUGAAGUAAUGCGUGUGGUUUCGGUCCUCACAACUGUGUUGGUGGGAAUUUCAGUAGUUGAGGAUGCUGUAAUUACUGAUGUUGUUACAGGUGCAGUUGUUUCUGAAGAUGUAGGCAUUGUUGAAGUAAGAGUUGUCGAUUCUGAAGUUACAGCUGUUGAUGUUGUUGGAUCAUUUGUUGUUGUAGAUGUGGUUGAUGAAGCUGUAGUUGUGGUCUCUGCUGUUGUACUUCCUGAAGUUGUAGGCAGUGUUGUUGAAGUAAUAGUUGUGGUCUCUGUACUCACAUCUGUGGUUGUGGGACUUUCAGCAGUUGAGUAUGCUGUAGUUACUGAUGUUGUUACAGGUGCGGUUGUUUCUGAAGAUGUAGGCAUUGUUGAUGUAAGAGUUGUCGAUUCUGAAGUUACAGCUGUUGAUGUUGCUGGAUUGUUUGUUGUUGUAGAUGUGGUUGAUGAAGCUGUAGUUGUGGUUUCUGCUGUUGUACUUUUUGAAGUUGUAGGCAUUGUUGUUGAAGCAAUUGUUGUGGAUUCUGAAGUUACUGCUAUUGAUGUUGUUGGAUCAUUUGUUGUUGUAGAUGUAGGUGACAAAGCUGUAGUUGUAGGCAGUGUUGUUGAAGUAGUAGUUGUGGUCUCUGUACUCACAACUGUGGUUGUUGGAAUUUCACUAAUUGACAAUCCUUUAGUUGUUGAUAUUGUUACAGGUACAGUUGUUUCUGAAGAUGUAGGUAUUGUUGUUGAAGUUAGAGUUGUGGAUUCUGAAGUUACAGCUGUUGAUGUUGUUGGAUCGUUUGUUGUUGUAGAUGUGGUUGAUGAAGCUAUAGUUGUGGUUUCUGCUGUUGUACUUUUUGAAGUUGUAGGCAGUGUUGUUGAAGUAAUGGCUGUUGUUUCGGUCUUCACAACUGUGGUGGUGGAAAUUUCAGUAGUUGAGGAUGCUGUAGUUGUUGAUGUUGUUACAGGUGCAGUUGUUUCUGAUAAUGUAGGCAUAGUUGUUGAAGUAAGAGUUGUGGAUUCUGAUGUUACAGCUGUUGAUGUUUUUGGAUCGUUUGUUGUAGAUGUAGUUAAUGAACCUGUAGUUGUGGUUUCCACUGUUUUAACUGUAGCAGUGGAAUGUUCAGUUGUGGCUGUGGAUGCAGUAUUUGUUGUUUCAGCUGCUUUUGUCUUUUCUGAAGACGUAGUCAUGGUUGUUGAAGCAAGUCUUUCUGUAGUUAUAACCAUUGUUGCACCUGAAGAAUCUGAUGAGGUUGGAGCUGGUUUUGCUGAGGUUGAAAUGGCAAGUAUAGUUGUUCUUUCUGAAGCCGUAUAUCCUGAAGUUGAAGACUCCUUUUUUGAAGCACUGGAUUUUAAAAAGAAAAAUAUAAUAAAUUAUAUACCUUUUAAAUUAUUAUUAACUUAAAAAAAAAAAAAAACAUGUUUGUAUUAGAUUAAAAAAGUAAUGACUAGUGGUGGGCCGUUAUCGGCGUUAACGUGCUGCAUUAACGUGAGACUCUUAUCGGGCGAUAAAAAAAUAUCGCCGUUAAUCUAUAGUACUCAAAGUUGGGUUGGGAGCUGGGUCUACUACACAAGCUAUGAUGAUUUCACCUUGAUGUUUUAGCGCGGAUGUAUAGGCUACCUAGCCGAAUUGCACUGUAGGGGGCGAGAAUGAGUCUUCGAACCUGUGUGUAUGCCUACUGUGAAAUUACCACAUCAAACGUGACGUGCUAACAUUGAUGCAGCUAUGAACCCGCCGGGUUUGUUUCAGGGGAAAAAAAAAUUAUUUUAAGAAGCUUCCCAAUGGAAACGUCGACAAGACUCACGCCUGGUUCACACUCUGUCUGCAGUGCGUAUGCAGUCCGUGUGUGUGGUGCAAAAGCAGCAUGGACUCAUUGUGCUUUCACACAGGAAGCGUUUGAACUCCGCUACUGAUCCGCGGCUGUUUAGUCC
Molecule: long non-coding RNA, 4593 nt
Organism: Cyprinus carpio carpio
Lineage: Eukaryota; Metazoa; Chordata; Actinopteri; Cypriniformes; Cyprinidae
Source: Ensembl